AGCAGCCGCGGUAAUUCCAGCUCCAAUAGCGUAUAUUAAAGUUGUUGCAGUUAAAAAGCUCGUAGUUGAAUUUCGGGAUCAAUUUGCUGGUCGUGCCUUCGGUACGCACUGGUAUUAUUGGUUUCUCCUUUCUGAUGAAUCGCGAUGUCAUUAAUUUGGUGUCGUGGGGAAUCAGGACCGUUACUUUGAAAAAUUAGAGUGUUUAAAGCAGGCUCACGCUUGAAUACAUUAGCAUGGAAUAAUGAAAUAGGACGUUUGAUUCUAUUUUGUUGGUUUCUAGGAUCGACGUAAUGAUUAAUAGGGAUAGUUGGGGGCAUUAGUAUUCAAUUGUCAGAGGUGAAAUUCUUGGAUUUAUUGAAGACUAACUACUGCGAAAGCAUUUGCCAAGGAUGAUUUCAUUAAUCAAGAACGAAAGUUAGGGGAUCGAAGACGAUCAGAUACCGUCGUAGUCUUAACCAUAAACUAUGCCGACUAGGGAUCGGAUGAUGUUAAUUUUUAAUGACUCAUUC
RNAcentral lists this ribosomal RNA (509 nucleotides) under uncultured Glomus. RNAcentral describes it as "SSU rRNA". It matches the Rfam family "Eukaryotic small subunit ribosomal RNA", at positions 569 to 1081 of the family's 1831-position model. The record is from RNAcentral. Lineage: Eukaryota; Fungi; Glomeromycota; Glomeromycetes; Glomerales; Glomeraceae.